This 355-nucleotide long non-coding RNA is filed under the name Elaeis guineensis (African oil palm). RNAcentral's name for it is "long non-coding RNA (EGUI_LNC055681)". The record is from RNAcentral. Lineage: Eukaryota; Viridiplantae; Streptophyta; Magnoliopsida; Arecales; Arecaceae.
GCACUCCAUUUAAUUAUGGUGUGUAUGGACGAAUGAAUCUCAUGUAAAUUCAUCUUUUUGAUAGAAUAUGGUUAUUUAAUUUUAGAUAUAUUUGUGGCCUAGAUCAAACCUAAAUAUUUGAAAGUGUCUUGUCUGUCUAGCUCUCAAUGGCAACAUUAUAAAUCUUUAUCUAACACUUCACUUUUACACUUCAAGAACUGAAAAAUAACAAUAUGGGGGAAGUCAUCUACUUGAGUUACCAAAUAAAAGUCUCCUCUCCUGAUUGGAAUAUUAGUAGAGUCAAGCACAUCAUCAUUCACAAGUUUCAGGAGUUUGUUGUUUCUAUCUAUAGCUCGAAAAGAUUUUCAGGUCUUCU